RNAcentral lists this ribosomal RNA (497 nucleotides) under uncultured bacterium. Its description in RNAcentral is "partial 16S ribosomal RNA". It matches the Rfam family "Bacterial small subunit ribosomal RNA", at positions 28 to 507 of the family's 1533-position model. The record is from RNAcentral.
GACGAACGCUGGCGGCGUGCCUAAUACAUGCAAGUUGAGCGCUGAAGGUUGGUACUUGUACCAACUGGAUGAGCAGCGAACGGGUGAGUAACGCGUGGGGAAUCUGCCUUUGAGCGGGGGACAACAUUUGGAAACGAAUGCUAAUACCGCAUAAAAACUUUAAACACAAGUUUUAAGUUUGAAAGAUGCAAUUGCAUCACUCAAAGAUGAUCCCGCGUUGUAUUAGCUAGUUGGUGAGGUAAAGGCUCACCAAGGCGAUGAUACAUAGCCGACCUGAGAGGGUGAUCGGCCACAUUGGGACUGAGACACGGCCCAAACUCCUACGGGAGGCAGCAGUAGGGAAUCUUCGGCAAUGGACGAAAGUCUGGCCGAGCAACGCCGCGGGAGUGAAGAAGGUUUUCGGAUCGUAAAACUCUGUUGGUAGAGAAGAACGUUGGUGAGAGUGGAAAGCUCAUCAAGUGACGGUAACUACCCAGAAAGGGACGGCUAACUACGUG